UAUUCCCCACUGCUGCCUCCCGUAGGAGUCUGGGCCGUAUCUCAGUCCCAAUGUGGCCGUUCAACCUCUCAGUCCGGCUACUGAUCGCAGCCUUGGUAGGCCGUUACCCCACCAACUAGCUAAUCAGAUAUGAGCCCAUCUUUCAGCGGAUUGCUCCUUUGGUAUCCCGGAGAUGCCUCCAAAAUACAUUAUGCGGUAUUAGCAGUCGUUUCCAACUGUUGUCCCCCUCUGAAAGGCAGGUUGCUCAUACAUUACUCACCCGUCCGCCACUAAGUUACAAAAGCAAGCUCUCGUAACUCCGUUCGACUUGCAUGUGUUAGGCACGCCGCCAGCGUUCAUCCUGAGCCAA
Molecule: ribosomal RNA, 349 nt
Filed under: uncultured rumen bacterium
Lineage: Bacteria
Description: partial 16S ribosomal RNA
Source: RNAcentral